This 76-nucleotide transfer RNA is filed under the name Trachymyrmex septentrionalis. It matches the Rfam family "tRNA". From Rfam's summary of the family: Transfer RNA (tRNA) molecules are approximately 80 nucleotides in length. Their secondary structure includes four short double-helical elements and three loops (D, anti-codon, and T loops). The record is from Rfam by way of RNAcentral. Lineage: Eukaryota; Metazoa; Arthropoda; Insecta; Hymenoptera; Formicidae.
GCCUCAGUGGUCGAGUUGGUUAAGACACUCUUCUCAGAAAGUUGGGAGGUCCCAGGUUUGAAUCCUGGCUAAGGUA